RNAcentral lists this ribosomal RNA (796 nucleotides) under uncultured Methanosarcina sp. RNAcentral's name for it is "bacterial SSU rRNA". It matches the Rfam family "Archaeal small subunit ribosomal RNA", at positions 85 to 879 of the family's 1478-position model. Lineage: Archaea; Methanobacteriati; Methanobacteriota; Methanomicrobia; Methanosarcinales; Methanosarcinaceae. The record is from RNAcentral.
ACUGCUCAGUAACACGUGGAUAACCUGCCCUUGGGACCGGCAUAACCCCGGGAAACUGGGGAUAAUUCCGGAUAACGCAUAUUUGCUGGAAUGCUUUAUGCGUCAAAAGGAUUCGUCUGCCCAAGGAUGGGUCUGCGGCCUAUCAGGUAGUAGUGGGUGUAAUGUACCUACUAGCCAGCGACGGGUACGGGUUGUGAGAGCAAGAGCCCGGAGAUGGAUUCUGAGACAUGAAUCCAGGCCCUACGGGGCGCAGCAGGCGCGAAAACUUUACAAUGCGGGGAACCGUGAUAAGGGGACACCGAGUGCCAGCAUCAUAUGCUGGCUGUCCGGAUGUGUAAAAUACAUCCGUUAGCAAGGGCCGGGCAAGACCGGUGCCAGCCGCCGCGGUAACACCGGCGGCCCGAGUGGUGAUCGUGAUUAUUGGGUCUAAAGGGUCCGUAGCCGGUUUGGUCAGUCCUCCGGGAAAUCUGAUAGCUCAACUAUUAGGCUUUCGGGGGAUACUGCCAGACUUGGAACCGGGAGAGGUAAGAGGUACUACAGGGGUAGGAGUGAAAUCUUGUAAUCCCUGUGGGACCACCUGUGGCGAAGGCGUCUUACCAGAACGGGUUCGACGGUGAGGGACGAAAGCUGGGGGCACGAACCGGAUUAGAUACCCGGGUAGUCCCAGCCGUAAACGAUGCUCGCUAGGUGUCAGGCAUGGCGCGACCGUGUCUGGUGCCGCAGGGAAGCCGUGAAGCGAGCCACCUGGGAAGUACGGCCGCAAGGCUGAAACUUAAAGGAAUUGGCGGGGGAGCAC